This 453-nucleotide ribosomal RNA is filed under the name uncultured Porphyromonadaceae bacterium. RNAcentral's name for it is "partial 16S ribosomal RNA". It matches the Rfam family "Bacterial small subunit ribosomal RNA", at positions 341 to 792 of the family's 1533-position model. Lineage: Bacteria; Pseudomonadati; Bacteroidota; Bacteroidia; Bacteroidales; Porphyromonadaceae. The record is from RNAcentral.
ACGGAAGGCAGCAGUGAGGAAUAUUGGUCAAUGGGCGGAAGCCUGAACCAGCCAAGUCGCGUGAAGGAUGAAGGUAUUAUGUAUUGUAAACUUCUUUAGACGUAGAGAAAUAAGCCCCUCGUGAGGGGUGAUGCUAGUAUACGUAGAAUAAGGAUCGGCUAACUCCGUGCCAGCAGCCGCGGUAAUACGGAGGAUCCGAGCGUUAUCCGGAUUUAUUGGGUUUAAAGGGUGCGCAGGCGGCUUUUUAAGUCAGUGGUUAAAUCGUGGAGCUUAACUCCAUCCCGCCAUUGAUACUGGAGAGCUUGAUUGCGGUUGAGGUUGGCGGAAUUCGCCGUGUAGCGGUGAAAUGCAUAGAUAUGGCGAAGAACUCCGAUUGCGUAGGCAGCUGACCAAGCCGUAAAUGACGCUCAUGCACGAAAGUGCGGGGAUCGAACAGGAUUAGAUACCCUGGUA